Pseudopipra pipra is the source of this 14964-nucleotide RNA transcript. It is a transcript of the gene named WASH complex subunit 3, with no coding region annotated. The record is from RefSeq and is a predicted model, not a curated record. Lineage: Eukaryota; Metazoa; Chordata; Aves; Passeriformes; Pipridae. The transcript is spliced from 8 exons.
CGCAGGUUUUGGUUCCGGGCCGAGGGGGUUCCGGGGUGCGCGGAGCUGCUGCGGGUGGGGGGCCGCCCCCGCCCCCGGCCCCGGCCCCGCGGGGAUGGACGAGGAUGGGCUGCCCAUCGUGGGCUCCGGCAUUGACCUCACCAAGGUUCCUGCUAUUCAGCAGAAAAGAACUGUAGCGUUUCUAAACCAGUUUGUGGUUCACACAGUGCAGUUUCUGAACCGCUUUUCUACUGUUUGUGAAGAGAAAUUGUCAGCACUCUCUCUCCGUAUUCAGCAGAUCGAAACAACACUCAAUAUUCUGGAUGCAAAGUUAUCCUCUAUUCCUGGCCUAGAAGAUGUCAAAUUUGAAGUGUCCAGUGCAAAUACAAAUAGUGUUACAAAUGGUCCUGUGGCACAAGCUACUACAGAUCAACAGACAGCUGUAUCACCUCAAUCUGGACAGAACAGUGUACAGGAAGAAGGGUUACAGAAAACGGAGGUAGUUACAGAAAAUGUCACAACUGUGGCCAAGGAUCCAAGAUAUGCCAGAUAUCUCAAAAUGGUACAAGUGGGUGUUCCUGUAAUGGCAAUACGAAACAAAAUGAUUUCUGAGGGACUAAAUCCAGAUCUUCUCGAAAGAUGAUUUGUCACAUAAGGGAGAAAGACUCAAGAUAAAAAUGGGACUAUGCAACCAUGUUGUGGGGCCUUCUUUUGAAAGAUCCUACAGGCAGAUGUCCUACUUAACAGGAGACCCCUCAUGUUCUUCCAAUUUCCAGCUAUGCUUAAUUAUUUACUGAUUGAGAACAUUUCAGCCAUUAGGCAAAGAAUCCUCUCUUUCUGUGUGGGAUGCCAGAUGUCAGCUGCGAUACGGUCUGCAGAGACACACACUGUCUUAAGGGUACCUGGGCAGUAGGAUGAUGGGCUUAGUAAUUUCUGCCCUAUUUGAAAAAGCACUGUCCCUAUUCAGAAGUAGAUGUAAAGAAAUAAUGAGCUGUGUACAAAGUGUGUUAUGUGCAGAGUUGAGUGGCAGAGGACAACUAGUUUUCACUGUACCAGCAGAAGAAUUACCAUGAACAAUAUGUAGAACCAAAAGCAGCGACUACCGUGACACAAUCUUAAGGGAAUGGACACUUCAGAAUGUGACUGGAUUUGUAUGUCAAGUUUAAUAGAAUUCACUACAAAAAUAUUUGCUCCCAUCACUGUAAAUACAGAUAUAAGAAGUCAGAAGGUACUUUGAUUUAUAUAAGCAGCCAGGAAAUACCAGAAGCCUAAAUCAUUCCAGUUUGUUCUAGGAUCUUACAUUGCAGUCCUGAUAAGGGCUGGUAGUUAAGUGCAUGGGGAAAACGAUUACACCAAUCCAUAUCCUUUAAAAAGAAGCAGGUUUAAAAACAAAGUUAAAAAAAUAGUGUGGGAAAAAGUGACAAAAAUUACUAGAUUCCUGAAAGGAACUUGUACUGGAAUUCAUGUCCUGUUUGCAAUAUCUACCGUGAACUUCAGCCUCUAUAGCUUCCUCCUUGUACCCUGCACAAGGUGUAGCUGUACACAGCCAAAACAAAGCCAGCUCUGUGUGCUUCUCCAUGUGCAGCAUUAGAAAGAAGAACACAAGCUGUAAAUGAAGUUGUUUCAAGAACAAGUUUUGUGAUUAUACAUUAAUUACUAGUGAAUCAGCUGGUCUUUGUCCAAAUUUGUGUAAAUCUAAAAUCAGUAAGUUGGUUAAAAAAACAUUUUACAAUCCUAGGAAGUUAAAGGCACUGAAAUGGCCAUAAAUAAACGUUAAACAGUAAAACUAGAUGUUGAAAAACAGACUCCCCAGAUAUGUUGGAAAAGAGCCUAUAAAAGCCUUCAAAAGAAUUUUCUUCAAAACACUAUGAAAGUUAACAGGAAACGCUCUAUAGGAGAUUUCAUGAUAAUUAUAAAGAUGUUGUUUGGUACUUUCUGAAUACUGUGUUCCUUUGUUAAAAAAACCAAUACUGACAGUUCCCAACAACCCAAAAAAGAAAUUAUCAGAGCAGCAACAAAUAUAUGCUAAGGAGUGAGCUCAGAUUAGCAAUAAUUUAUGUUGAACAGUGGUUUAGCAGUAGACUAACAUAAUUGUCCCCUGCGCUGAGUAUUUAGUAGAUGAGAACUAAUUCCAUAGGCUUCGUUGGAUGAAGUAUGACUGCAUAUAUGAUUGAUCCUAAUGCAGGCCAGUAUAAACACUGGUAAGAAAAGCCAUCUUUGCCCUUUUCUGCUGGAGCCUCUAUCCUCCUGAUCAUCAACAGAUGUUUUAAGACUUCAUUACAUAUUAUUUGGUGGGUGAUCAUUUACCUUGUGGCUCUUCCAGUUGCAUAAGCAUAGUUCUCUUCCCUUUACUUGCCCCCAGACCAGUACUGAUCCAUUAGACUCACCAUAGGUUUGUAGUUCUGCAUCUGUUGUAUUUCCAAUUUCACUGUUUUCCUUUCUUGUUUUUUUUUUUCCUGUUUUCCUAUGACUCCUUGAGAUGUAUUUCAGCCAUCACUUAGCUGCUGGGAGUGGAGAACACAUCCCAGUCAAGCAAACCCUCCUUGCAUCCACAUCGACACCCGUUUCAGAGUCUCCUACCUGACACCGGGGGCUAAAGCAGGUCACCACAAGUAUCUUUCCUGUGUAGCUCAUUCCUCAUUGUUUCAUUUUAGAGACUCUGUUCCUCUUCUGUUCUGUGAUUUUGCUGUCAAAAAAAUCCCCUGUGUUCCCUAUGAGACUGCCAAACAAGCUGGUGUGUUCCCACCAGAAGCUGCACGGGGACCUUUACAAGUAAGCACAACCUCCUGUUAACCCAAAGUCUACACUGAAAAUCCAUGGAAAGGGGAAAUCCUCCUGCUGCAAUCUGUGAGCAGGAACCUCUUCUCCAGGUCCUGUGACUGCAGUUACAAUAUAACUUUGCUCCUAAGAAACCUAUCAGGGUAUUGAUCCUUAGUAUCCAGAAAAUGGAGGAAAAGUGCUUCCUGACCCCACUAUGUAAUUUGUUGUCACUUGACGUAAUUAAUUAUUUGCAAGAUAAUAAAGGAGUCUUUCUGUUUUUCUUCAUUUCCACUGAGGCCAGUGAUAAGUAGCAUGUUUAGAGGCAAAUUCCUGUAGUCCCACCUUUUCCUUUCCCUCUUUUCUCGUACAGGGACUCUCCUCUUUCUCACCCGUUUUCUCAGCUUCCAGUCUUUAGACCUGUUUCUGAGUCUGCAUGCCUCGAGAGUAGCUGACACAAAUAGAACACAAAUACAUGGGAACUGCUGGUUCUGAAACACGAUUACAUAAUCUAGUAUUGCAGAUGAUGACCCAUCUCCAGCUCCUCUUGAAGAAAACUGAGACAUCACUAAUUCCUGUUUUGUCAUGCUGUUUAACUGCUAGUAUGAUUUAUGGGAUGCUUUCAAUAACCCAUCCAUGGUAUUGCUAGGAUUUUGGUUUCCGAGACUUCUGUUUUUCCAAAACCCAGAGGUAUGCACGAAGGCAGUGCUUCUGUUCUUCCUAGAAAUCCAUGAGAGACUUAUCUGUCCCCAGUCCCGAGCUGAACGCUUGAUGUCCAGCGCUAUUUGCUCACUGAAUUUAACUGAGUGGUUUGAGAGUCAACGCCCUUUCAUCCUUCAACCCCUACUCAAGAAGACUCAGUGGUCGGCAGGAUUGCAUUUUUACUUCAGAAAUUGUUUUUUAUUUGUCUGUUUGUGCAUUUUUCCAGAGUGAAUUUUUAUCUGACUGUGCAAUGAACAGUUUCCAAUCCUGUCUUUCUUUAGUUUCCUCUCACUCCUCUUUAGUCUUAACAUUGUUAAAUAUUUUUGCAACCAGAAGGUAUUUUUGGAGUGAAUAUACUGCCAUGACUCUCUGUUUUCAAUGGCAACGCUCAGUUCUGGCUGCCAUGAACAGACACAAGAUGCCAUGUAAAACUGCAAGUUGAUUUUUAAAAAAUAUGAUUAUAUAAUGUUGUACCAUUCCUUUUGGUUGAAAUUCCAGGAAAGUAGAGAUCAGGAUUUUGUAUUGCCUAUCCUAAACAGUAAGCAUGUUUUAAAUUCAGUUCAAGACUAAAAACCUAUACUAAUACAAUAAUAGCGUUCAAAUUUUAAAGCUUUUUGGCAAGGAGGGGUACUGAAAAAAUGUCAGCUUCACCCUUUGACAGCACUGGCAAUCACCCUUUAAAAUCUUCUAUAAUACUAUAAUUACCCCAAAUAUUUGGUUUAAACACUUUUAAGCUAACUAGCCAUGCCAGCUGUACGCAAGAUCUCAGUUGAGAGUUGAUUUUGGUCUGCAGUCAGGUCAGAGAGCACCCAUGACUUACUACCUGCAUACGUUUAAAUUCCCCAGACAUCAAAUUGAGACCACAAAAUGGAGGAAAGUAAGGCUAAUUUGUUGACUGUCACGAAGAAAGAUGAUUUCUGGAACAGAAUCACAGAAACCACAUCCUAAUACUAACAUACUAGGAGAACUGUUUGCCAACACAAUUUGUGUGAAUUAAGUAUUAGGUAACACAGAAGGACAGAGGACAAAGGGAGAAAUAAGAAAUGGCGCCAUCUCUGUGCCCCCAAAACCCAUAGGAAGCUGUGCCAAUGGAAAGCUUCCACACUCCUGAGAAAACAAGUGCUUGCUGAAGCUUGGCUCCUGGCUCCUCAGUUGCUUCUAAGACUGUUACAGCUACUUCAAAUCUUGCCCCAGUGCCAGGAUCUUUGCACACAAUUGCGCUGAAUUUCAAAUUAAAUGUUGUUAGAGGCUUAAUCAGAACUACAUCCUUUUGUAGCUGUGGUAUCCAUUCUGAGACCUCAAGUCUAAAUACUUCACUUUGAACACUCUGUUUCUGUUUCCUCAGUAAGAAAACAAGUUGGGUUUAAGGAGCGGAAGCAGAACAAGCUGAGUCUUAGAGCUUAACGUCUCCUUCAAACUGCUUACGGGGAGAUAACUUGUUUUCCAGAUUCAUCCCUGAGGUUAUUCUGCUGACACCAGAAGCUAUUCAGGAAACAUCCCCAGGCUCUGUGAACAACAUAUGCGCUUGCUGAGCAGAGCAAGAAAUACUGACAGCUAAAGCCAGUAGAAGGCUUGGAAUCUGAUAUCAGUUAAUUAAAGAAGAAGAUCACUUCUCCUUCAAGUGAAGGUUCUUAUCUUCUAUUGAAUUUGGAUCUUCAAAGAUCCAAAUAGCUCUCUGUAAGAAAACAGGGAUAUUUCUUCAGAGGCAUUUCUGAACAUUACGUUUUUGCCUGAAGAGUAAGACCUGUGGUCAACAUCCUUUUUAAGCAGUAAAGACGAGACUUUCCGUGUAAUCCUAUUGAAGGUUCAAAUGUGUACAAAAUUAUAUUUAUAACUUUUCAGAGGGAAAAAAAGCCCACAAAUUAUUGUAUUAUCAAAAAUAAACCUUGAAAAAAGACUAGCAAUUGUAUAAAACAAUGUUUAUGGUAACCUCACAAUAACAGCCUUUGUCUUUCCCAGGUCACCCAUACGAAUCAAAUCUAGCACAGAAUACUCGAAAAGACAGAGCCAGUCUAGAAACGAUGGGAUGUGACAAAGCCUAGGUGCAUAAGACCUUGUUUCAGAACAUUUGGUUGCAGCAUAGUCAGUGUUUUUGAGGUAUCUACACACUGGAUGUUUAGGGGGGAAGUUGGUCGAUUUGGACAACAAAAAAAAUCCUUUGAAUUGUAGUAUUGUUCAAGAAUUGUAUCACCCAGUCACCCAUGGACAGACAGAAUAUAAAUAGUUCCAUAUUCUAGCUAAAAUGAACAAAGAUUUUAAAAGAGCCUUUAUGCUCAAAGAUAAAAGCAAAGGCAUAUAUUAUAUCUCUUUAACAGUAUUAUUUCCUUUUUCCUGAUUAGAAUUUCCCUAAUCUUCCACAAGACCUUUCAAAUUAACUUUAAGCUAUUGACUUUUUGCACGGUUUCCACUUUUGCCAAACAACACAAACCAAGACCCUUAUAGCAGACAUGAUCUUCUCAUACCAACCUCUUUCUGUCCAUGACAUUGCAAAUUUUAGUGACAUUUGCUGUGACCAUCUUACCAAAGUGAUGAUAGUCUGUGCUGCCAGCACUCUUCUUCUUGCCAUUACCAUAGCAAAAUGCUCUCGAAUAAUUCAAACCAAAAGAAAAAACUCCAUGCAAACUAUCUAAUGUGUUUCAGUCACCUGAUGCAGUUUGAAAGGCAGGAAAGAUAACUUUGCAUGGAGAUCCAUCAGCUGCUAAUAGGCCUAAUAAAAGUAGGGCUACAGAGAUUGUUCCUGCAGAUCUUAUGAUGAAAGUCUAGAUAUUCAUCAGAGAAACUGUCUUUGAAAUGUACCUUCUAUUUACAAUGAAUAAAAUUAUGAGUGUGUGUUGGGAGAGGACUUGUGGACUAAGAAGAUUCUACUGUGUUAAAGAUGUCUAUAAUAAUGACAUAUUCUUACUUUGUCAGAGCACUUUCUAUAUUUUUUUUCAUCCAUACAACAAUUUGAUGGGACUUUGUAGAGGAUUAUCCACGCUCAGUGUGGUUUAUUUAAGACUGACAAUGCUGAGCUUAUAUCAUUGCUGGUGAAAUAAUGUUCAGAGGCCUGGAUUAUUGCUACACUUCACAGAGGACAUGCAAAAAAUGCUAACUAGAUGUUUCAUUAGGCAAGGAAAUAAGUGAAAAAAAAGGCAUCAUACAUACACAAAAGUGCAUUUUAAAUAGAUACAGCAGCUGCCUUUGAAUUUUUUUUACAACCUGACACAUCACUCUUUUUGGGUGCAGACUGGCUGCAAUUUUGAAAUGUUAAAAUCUUGUUCUUUUUAUACUGUUGUCCCAUGAAAAUAAGGUCUAUAUUGUCUUCUGAUGCUCCAUUGCAAACUGACAGAAUUCUAUUAAAGCACUGAAUAAAAUGCUCCUUCUUUGUAAUAGAGUAGGAAAAACUUCCCAAGAGAAGUGGCUUAGUAAUGACAGCUGGAUUGCAGCUUGCACCAGUGCUAACUGCAGCAAGUGGCUCCUUUGACUUAGACAAAUUAAAUUGAAAUUGAAGUUGCUAUGAAACUACAUGUUGCAGUAGCAAAACAUAUUUACUUAGACGAAGGCAGGAAGGAAUGGCAAGGAAACUUAGAUCUGACUUGUUUUCCACAAAGGCAUAAUAAAAAAAUCAUUUAACCAGGCCUCCAGACGACUAUUAAAAUCAAUUAAAGCUACCUACAAAACUAUUGGACUUGCCAGCCUGAACGUGGGAAAUAAACCCGGAUCAUGUGGUCUCCUAGUGCCAUCUAUUGUGUACAGGGAAAACUACAGAUACCAUGUGUAGGAGUUGCCUAUUUUCUCCUUAAGAUGUGAAAAAUGGUCUUUCUGCAUAACAAUACCAAUUAAAAAAUGUAGCCAAAGCUCAUUAAAGCCCUUCUGUUAUUUAUAAAAUACACCAAGUAUUAUUAUUUAUGUGUAUUUCAGCAACAUACAGGACUCUAACCACUGUCAGGCUUCAUCAUGCCAAUACUGUAUAUAUAUGCAUGUUGACCAUAUGAGCACAUGCACAUGCACAGAAAUGCAGUGAAAGACGGAUCCAACUGUGAUGGGCUUAGUCAAAGCUUCAGAGAUCUUAUAAAUUAAAACCUAUUGUUACUUCCCUACAUUAUGUUGAAUUUCUCCCAAAUAAAAGGACCUUAGCUCAUCUUCCAAGGAAAUAUACAUUAUCCCUUCUUAAAAUGCUGCCUUUCACUGUUUCUUGGAGGAGAACAGCUCUUCCAGCUUCUUCCAGAGAGAAUAUUUCUAGUGGACAUUGCAAACCGCUAGGAACAGUUCACCACCCCCAAACACUCUGCCAUCUUCAAGCAGGCCCUCUAAAACCUGAACACUUGUGAAAACGUGGUAUCAAUAUUGAGACUAAGACUGUAUUUACAGAGCAGUUUAAAAUACCAAGCUCUUGAAUGUCUUUACAAACUUCAUACCAGAAUGUCAAAAAUUCACUGACAUGUUACCAUAAUUACUCUGUUCCACUUGAAACUUUUGCAACAAGUAUUAGGACAAAGUAGCAAAUCCCCUGCCAUCGAGAUUAUUUUACUACUGUCAAACAUAUGCUGCUGUCGCACACAAGGCAGUGUGCAAACCGAGCAGAUCAGAAAUUAAAAUUCAGAAGACCUCAUGAGAAAAGCCAAAGGUGCAAUAUAUGGUGAUCACUGGCUUAGUGCACAUAGGAAGGGAAAGCAGUGCCAGUAACAGUGUCCUAAGACAAAGUUGGUUUUAGGUAUUUUGAGUUGAUUGAGUUUCAUCCUUACAUGACAUGAUCUGGAACUGUUACAGAGACCACACCAGUGGCAUUUCAUCCGCAGAUCAAGCUGCACAACCUAGAAAAAUGAGCCUUUGCACUUUUGGAAGGGAUAGAAUGAUUUAACAUAACCACUGAAAAUAACAGCAACUGUCAUGUGAUUUACUGUAGUUUACGCAAAAGGAAUUUCUCAAUCACUGCUGAUGGGCUGACAAAUAGAAAACAUCAUGCAGAGCAGAUGAUGAAAAUAUUUCUAAUAUAGGUUCCAAGAAAAAAUAGUUAUUUAUUGUUGCUAAGAAGUGGGAAAAUAUAGAAAAGGCAACAGAAAUUUAUGGGACAUUAUCCACACUAACCUGUAGAGAUCACUUGCUUAAAAAAACGAAAGUGUAUUAACUAACAAGACUCAGCCACACCUAAAAUAGUACACCUUGCUAGAAUAAUAUUUUUUUGCAAUUGCUUGCAACUUGUCAACUCCCAUUUCAACUGAAAAAGUAAUUAAGCUCUUGACUGAAAAUCUGCCUGGAGCCAGAGAAUAAUCACAGUGUUUUCAACACUUGUUCACUGCACAAAUAAAAAGGAAAUAAUCCAUUGUCUCCAUCUGCAUGUCGAUGCACGCUGAUGUUUUUGGCCUAACAAAUUUAAUAAAAGGUACACAGUUGGCAAUGUAUUCUUUUGGUCAUGACUAUAGCUCUCAUUAAAAUGUAUCAUGAUAAAACUCAGAAAAAGGUGAAAGAUUUCACAGAAUCCCAGAAUAUGCCAAGUUGGAAGGGACCCACAAGGAUCCUCGAGUCCAACUCCUGGCCCUGCACAGGACUAUCCCCAAGAGUUACACCAUGUGUACUCCAUUCAGUAGUUCUUCAGUACUUGAAUUAACACAUUGAUUUCAGCAAACAAGAUUAUCUUGAUUCAGCCUGAACAUUUUUUCCCCCCUUUAGGAUACUGUAAUCACUGUAAAGGUUGGUUAUCAUUUGCAAUAAAAAUUUUAAGCUUCUUAUAAUUUAGUUUACGAAAUCUAGGAAUAAAAAAUAAUAGAAGAACAAUACACAGUGUAGUAAGAAAUUUUGUCUUUUCGUAACAUGGCCUUCAAAAUAACAGGAUGUUAAUUUUUAUGGUUGAUAUAAAUUUUCUUUUGAGUAUUUCUGAUCUUCUCUUGAAAGAAUGUGUGUCCCUUGCAGGAUACCUAAUCAGCAAGACAUAGGUGCUUUAUUUAGUCAGUACUAGGUUUGAAUUUGAAUUUGAUUGUAGCUAUAAACCUCUGAAAGAUAACCUGAUUACUAUGGAAAGUAAAUCUGCCAAUGAAAAACAUUUUUACUCUUUUUAUUUGGAAGAACUUAUAAAGAAAACAUUGACUCUUCAUGUUGUGAAGCAGCUGAAUUUAAUACAGUUUAAAAUACACAUUAAAGGAAAUAUCAACAUAUGACUAAUCUUAAAACAUCACCAUCCAAAACACGCAUUCAUUUUAUUUCGUGGAAAAUUAGCAACUGAAAAUCAUCAAUAUUUCUGCAUAAAAUGUGAUAGAGCAUGGCAAAUGUAACUUUCAGAGAACUGAACUGACAGCCAAGUGGCUAAUGCACUGAGUGGAGGUAGCAGAUCAGUCAACAAAAGAACUUUUUGCCUGCAGAUACCUGUAACAUCUGACUCCACAAUUAGAUCCUUUCCCAGUUUUUCAUUACAGAAGUAAGUCUAUAGCAGCAAAUAUGCCAUACCUUCACUACAGAUGCUCUCCAGGGUUUUUUUUUCCUUCAGUUUUAUAUAUAUAAUACUCAUACACAUAGAAGCAAACACCUGAAAACUACUUGUUUUCCAUUCAUUUCCAAAGACUUUUUGGAGACCUUCUUCGUUCCAUCAUUGCAGGUUAAAACACGGGCUGGAAAUUUCUGCUUUGUGUUAACCAAAUUGCAGUAAGAUUUCUCUUUAGUAUGGCAUGCAUAAAUGUAAAUUUACUUUCUAUUCCCACUUUAGUUUUAAGUUUCCUAUGGCCAGCAGUGCAUAAAAGGGAAAAAGGGGUAAAUGUUUACAUAUUGCAGUGAUGAUCAGAAAACACCUUUUCAAGCAAUAUAGUUUAAACUUCUCCUAGCAUUUGUAUUUGUAUACAAUGCCCAGUAUCAGAAACAUGUAGCAUAGUGUUACCACCUACUCACUUAAUUUCUGGUCUUGAAACAAAGAUGCCCAAUUCUGCUCUCAACAUCUUCCAUAGCCCUUGCAACUUGACAGAGUAGGAAUUCAGCCUUAGUGAUUUCCAUUGCCUUUAGACUUUCCUAACUGUUUGCAAAAUGUACUUUCUCCAGUUUAAAAGUAAUGUUACUAAUUAGACUACAGCAAAUUAUAAAGUAUGGAUAUGUCCAAAAGGGAAGAUCUGAGGAGAUCAAGUCCUUGAAUGACUUUGCAGUGCUUCUAGGGAUUGCUUCUAUUACAGUAUUUUUAAUAUAACAAACCGUAUAAAAAUUACAAAAUAUUACAAAAAGGCAGCAGGAACAUUGCUGUUUUUAAAGUCUUUUAGUGGAUGCUGUUACAGAUGUUGCAGAGUUAAUGGCAUGGGUUCUUAAUGCAAUUUAUCAAUCCCUGUCCCUCUGCAACAUUUUCUAUGAGUAAAAAGAAACCUAGAAUAUUCAUAGAUAUAAAAUAUUUUUACUUUUCACUACCAGGAGUCUUCAUGUAUUUCUGUUGAUAUCCUCAAAGAAAAUCUCUAAAAAAAAAAAAAACAAGAUCAGCUUAAGAUAAAUUAAUUUUACAGUUCUGCAAUCUAAUGUACAUGGAGAUAAAACAAAACAAAAGAAAAAAGUGUUUAAGUGAAAUACAUCCCACAGGAAUUUUUUUUUAAAAAGGGGAUGAUUUUUCUUAAUUUUUCUUAUAUUUCUUAAUUCCAUCAUUUUCUCCUAUUUAUUAUAUUCACAAUAUUUAUAUAUAGUUAAACUUUGAAUGUUUAACACCAUGAUCAGAAGUAAAAUUAUCAACUAAAACUUGCUAAUAGGUAUUCUGAGGACUACAGCAUUGUCCUGUUAAUAUCCAUCUCCAAGGGAAGAGUCUGACCUUUGAUAAAAGAGAUGCCAUCAUAUAUGCAGGCAUCAGAGUGAUGGACUAGCAAUAAACAUCUCCCCACAAAAUGGAGCAUUAAAUGAUGCAUGCAUUUCUGAAUGGUACUUCAAUAAUUCUGUCACUUUUAGAAGGCAAUUAUAUACCUUUAAGAUAAUGCGUUGUGUAAUUUUGAACAAGUACUUUUUUAAAAAAAAUGAAGUGCUUUUUUCUGCUGAACCUGGGGGAUUUUAUUAUUAUUUAAUAAGGAAAAGCUCUACAGCCAUGGUCUAUUCAGUACUAAGUCAACAGACAUAGAAAUGUUUGCUGUUGGUUAGUAAAAUAUAUGUCAACUCUGAAUCCUUGGUUGCAAAUUGAUUUCUGUACAAAGCUAUGUACAUAUUAUAUAGAGGUAUUAACUACUUCCAUGCUGAAGUGAAGAAGGAAGUGAAUUAAUGACAAAGUUUUACAUGAUCUGAUGCCAAACUUUGGUUUUACACUAGAGGACGUAGAGGGUUCUCAUUAUUUUUCCACCCUUCCCACCUCCACAAAUUCUGGAUAUGGUUUCCAGCAAUUUAUCACAGCACCAACUUGUUCUCAUAUUCUACACUUAUGCACAUACUUACUAGGAUCUAGUUUUCAACUUUCUGGGACUUGUGUGAGGCACUGCUAUAAAUGAAAGACCUACAUAUGGGGUAUGAGACCUACAGUGAUUACGAGUGAGUCAGUUCAUCUUUGUGACUGUGGUAUAAAGCAGCAGUUCUCAGUAAGCAACAAGAGCUGGUGAGGCAAAGCUUGGGAAACUAAGUUCAAGGCAUGCCUUUCAUAAGUCAUAUAAAAGUGGGUUUUUUUAACUAAUCUAGUAUUUCUCUUCCUUAAAUUCAGGCUUGAAGCAUCACCAGAUCCAGCUACCCAAACCACAAUGUCUUUAUGUCAAAAAUUUUCCAAAAAUUGAUAUUUUUUUGGACUGUGAGGGAAUGUCAAGCAAGAUGUGUAAUAUCUAAAAAGAAAGGAAACAUCCAUUGUUGAAAUGCACUGGAUUAUUAUAUAAAAACCCUCAGGUAGAAAGAAAUGCAGUUUUAGUUGCAUGAUUUAUUUUUUCAUUACUUCAGAGAGCCUCUUUCUCAAAAAUAUUGGUAAAUAAGUAGAAUAUAUUAAUUUACUGAAUAAUUGUCCACACCAGAUACCUAAUUAACUAUUAAACUGAAUUUUAUGUUUUAAAAAUGAGGGGAAAAAUACUCAUUACAUAGACAGAAAUCAUUUUUGACAUUGGUAAAAUUUGUUUUUGUAUAGCUUUGGUGUAUCUGUCUGACAUAAAGAAUGGUAAUUUUCAAUUGCAUUUGUUAUACAAUUCAUAGCACUUAGUCACUAAAUAAUGCUAAAAUAUGUAGAUACCAACCUGAAAAUCUCUAAUGAAUGUUAAAAAGAAGAAGAUAAAACCAAAGGCCACCGUCCAUUCACAGAUUGCACUCAUAAAAUGAUAAGUGUAAUCCUGAUGGAAUGAGACAUAAAACAAAUUUUCAAAUAAAACAGCUAAACAGAAUACAUAUGGAAUGCUAUAGACAUUUCCUUCUGUAAAUUCAAUAUAAGAUUUAUGACUCAUCAUUUUAAUGUCCUGUUGUGUAAAAGUCAAUUCAGAUUUUGUUUUUACAGAAUGGUAAGUACAUCUCAAGUUAAAAAAAAAAAAAAAACCAAACCAAACCUCAAGGUAUUACUAAGAUUGUCUAACUUGUAAAGACUUAUCUCACGGCUGCCUUGCCACUGUUUGGUUGAAAUACAUCUGCCAGGUUUGCUUUUAUCAAGCUUAUCAAGUAGGAUACACUCUCUGCAUUAUUUUACCUGUUUUUUAAUACUUCAUUGUGGCAAAAUUUGUCCAAAAAUAAAAAUUACUUUUCAUAGUUAUCAUUCUGAGAACACUGAAAUCAACUAAAAUACCUAAUAUUGACUUAAGUGUGCUUCAGGUAUGACCCCAAAUAUUUAUGGCAAUAAUAGAGACUAUUUAAUAAAGAAUGGUAAAAAAGCUGAGAAAACCAAUGUUGUAAAAAAACCUCAGAAACUUCAGAAUCAAAUUGGUCCAUUUAAGUUUCAUGUGUAAAGUUCAGUUUCAAGAAACUGAGGAAGUAGAACAACUAAUUUCCAGAAUAUCUUUUUUUUUUCUUUUACAGUGGGAAAGUUUCAAAUGCUUGGUUAAAAUGAAAAUCUAACUCUCUAAAGACUGAACCAUCCGUUGCAAGUUCCCUUACCCAAGCCACAUACACUUUCCUAAUGAAAAGUAACCAGCAUUGCACAAAUCUGUUCAUGAUAAUGCACUAUUUAAAGUCUCUAAAAUGUUUCUAGGGCUAGACACUUUUAGAUAAAUAUAACAGCAUUCCCAAAAUAAUAUGAUAGAGGGUGAGUUGGCUACCUAAUAAGAUUUUACCUUUUCACCUGGAGUCCAAUCAAUUUUUGUCAUGGAAACCUGAGAAGCGAACACAAUCACUGGGAAAAACAGUGUGAAGGAAAACCAUAAAAUUUUAGUGAGUAAUAGUGAAAAUGUUUGCUUACAAAAAAAACCCCAUCUUCCCCUUCCAUAAAACAGCAGAACCUGAACAACCAGAAUAUCAAAUCAAGAUAUUAAGAAAACAAGUAGAUGAAACACAUUAUUACAAGGUAACUGGUAGCAGCAAUCAAAACACAUUUCUGUUGGUUCUUUCAAAAUACAGAUGAUAAGGAGAGACACUCCAAAACUUAAAUCAUAUUUGUGAUCAAGAACUGAGGGAGCAUAGUCCUUCAUUGUUGGAAGGGGAACUAUGUUGGUUUCCACUGGUCCACAAUAGGUGCUUGAUAUAUUUGUACAACUUCCUCUCAGGAACUGGGAGCAUCUUUAAAAACACUUUCCCACCUGCUGAAACCAAAACCAGGCUAUAUCUGGCUGACUGAUGUGAUGAAUCUGCUGUGACCAGUUUCCAACUGGCAGAUCACCCAAAGCCAAUGAAAUUAAUGGGAUGGCCCUAAAUUUCAGCAUGCCAUGGGAAAAGCCAGUAAGUGUGUUGAGUGUGUCUUUAGGGGAGGCAACUAAUGAAGACUAGCACCAACCAACAUGAUCAAAAUCACUUGCUUAGGCUUGAAGGAAAUCUUGCCACUUGUAUUUUAUACAUCUGUGUGCUUGGUUCAUUGUAGAAGCAGUGCCUCCCUUUUGCAGGCCUUUCUCCUUCUCUCCUUCAAAUGAAGCUUUAUUAGUGUAUGAUCCUGUGAAGAACACUGGGGCAUUGGUUUGAAAUAUACCACUGAAAUAAGAGAUAAAGCUUUUCAGAAGACCCUAAACCUCAUCUUUAUGCUAUUAAUGGUGUCUCAACAUGCUAUAUUAUAUGCAUUAAAGAGCCCUAAGCAAAGAGUGUAACUUCAUUUUCAUCCUUUAUCAACAAUGUUUUAACUUAAAAGGAAAGUCAUGAAUGCAUAAAGGGAAAACUGUGGGAUACACCAUAAAGGAUACUGGGAAUGAAAGCAAUGCAUGAUAUUGCAGAUAUAGCCAUCCUUAUGUGACACACAAAGUAAGAGUUCCAUCGUGGACAGGACUUGUAAGAGAUUAUAGACUGAAGUGUAAUGUAUACAACACCCGAGCCAAAUGCCACCAAAGCUCCUAUGUCAUGGACACUGGGAACAGCCAGCUCCUGGAAAAAGAAUCAGCAUAAUGGUUAGCUGCUACUGUCUGAGUAGUGGUAGGAAUCAAUGAGGCGUGAGGAGACAGCAGCCACAUUGUGUUGGGCACACACAAGGAAUGGGAAACAGUCCCUUUUCCAAACAGGGAAGAUGAAAGAAAA